Molecule: regulatory RNA element, 62 nt
Organism: Pseudomonas agarici
Lineage: Bacteria; Pseudomonadati; Pseudomonadota; Gammaproteobacteria; Pseudomonadales; Pseudomonadaceae
Rfam family: gabT RNA
Source: Rfam
UGUGGCCGGGAAAGCUGUGACAGUCGAUCAUCGUAUGCUGCCGCAGUUGCUUCCCCGCCAUG